UAAGCGGAGGAAAAGAAACUAACAAGGAUUCCCCUAGUAACGGCGAGUGAAGCGGGAAGAGCUCAAAUUUGUAAUCUGGCACUUUCAGUGUCCGAGUUGUAAUCUCGAGAAGUGUUUUCCGCGCUGGACCGCAUACAAGUCUGUUGGAAUACAGCGUCAUAGUGGUGAGAACCCCGUAACUGAUGCGGACGCCCAGUGCUUUGUGAUACACUUUCGAAGAGUCGAGUUGUUUGGGAAUGCAGCUCAAAUUGGGUGGUAAAUUCCAUCUAAAGCUAAAUAUUGGCGAGAGACCGAUAGCGAACAAGUACCGUGAGGGAAAGAUGAAAAGCACUUUGGAAAGAGAGUUAACAGUACGUGAAAUUGUUGGAAGGGAAACGCUUGAAGUCAGACUUGCUUUUUGGAAUUCAGCCGCAAGGUGUACUUUUCAAUUUGGCAGGCCAGCAUCAGUUUUUGGGGGUGAAAAAGGGUAUAGAGAAGGUAGCAGUCUCGGCUGUGUUAUAGCUCUUUACUGGAUUCAUCCUUGGGGACUGAGGAACGCAGCACACUUUUUGCACGGUCUUCGGAUCUGUUCUGUGCUUAGGAUGCCUGGUGGAAUGGCUUUAAACGACCCGUCUUGAAACACG
Molecule: ribosomal RNA, 623 nt
Rfam family: Eukaryotic large subunit ribosomal RNA